RNAcentral lists this transfer RNA (58 nucleotides) under Dipodomys ordii (Ord's kangaroo rat). It matches the Rfam family "tRNA", at positions 8 to 63 of the family's 71-position model. Rfam says of the family: Transfer RNA (tRNA) molecules are approximately 80 nucleotides in length. Their secondary structure includes four short double-helical elements and three loops (D, anti-codon, and T loops). Lineage: Eukaryota; Metazoa; Chordata; Mammalia; Rodentia; Heteromyidae. The record is from Rfam by way of RNAcentral.
UGGCUUAGUGGUAGAGUGCUUGCCUGGCAUGCAUGAGGCCCUGGGUUCGAUUCCUCAG